Long non-coding RNA from Phasianus colchicus (ring-necked pheasant), 1813 nucleotides. The record is from Ensembl. Lineage: Eukaryota; Metazoa; Chordata; Aves; Galliformes; Phasianidae.
GGAGAGCUCUGCCGGCGGGAGGGCACGCAGCGCUGUGCGUGGCAGCUUGAGUGGGGAGAUGCGCUGUUUCUCCCUCUUUUUUUUUUUUUUUUUUUCCCCCUUCUUUUUCUCUUUAAACGUUAUGAUUUUUUAUUAUUAUUAUUUUAAUUUCAUUUAUGUAUCCGUUUUAUUUUGCAAUCGUCGACCAGUUAUUUGGCUCAGAGAAAAGUUACGCAAAAGGGCACUGCCGCCCAAGGACUGCACUCGGCAGGAGCCGCUCUUCAGAUCGUGGCUAGAGGAAGACACCUACAAAAAACUCCACCGUUCUCUGCAUUUGUAAGUUUCCAAAGAAAAGUACGCCUCUUUCCCUUUUCUCCUGGAAGACGCAAGCCACGGCUCUUCUUUAGGCAUUUCUAAUUUGUUCCGUCCGUCAGAGCGGCACUAAGAGAGGUUUGGUGCAAAUUCAUUAUCUCUGGCAACGCACAGCGCGGAGCAGGAACUGAAAAAAAGACCGUGGCAAUGGAUGAACAAUGGGGCUUCAGUUCGUCGGCAACAAAAGCUGUGGGGAAAUCGGUUGGAUUUCAGAGCACGUCCUCCUCGGCAGAGAGGGCUGGACUAGACCUUGGCCAACCCCCCCAAAAAACUUGCGGAACAUCUCAUGCAGGACUUCACUUUCUCUACCGGGACUUAAGAGUCAAUAUAUAUUAAAAAAAAAAAAAAAAAAAAAAAAAGGGAGGGCGGUAAGGUGGGAUCAGAAAACUUUCUGCCAUCGUCUCCUAUUUUUCUGGAUAGAGGAUGCCGAGCUACUCUAAAGCCAUUUGUCGCAAGAACAGCAACGUGGAACUACGCGGAACUUUUAAAGCAGAUGGAAGAUGGAGGAACGACGUGAAUUUUGGAGAUUUGCCCGCGGGGAUCUUUAUAUGUGCCUUACCGCCGGAACCGGGGGGGGAGAACCCCCCCCCACCCUCGGAGCCGCAGCGAUAUUUAAACAAUGCAGACAGAGCACAGGGAAUGACAUCCAAGGCACAACACGGUAAUAUGUUUUUCCUUAUUAAAGUUGGACGGUGCUCUGUGUGUUACAUACAGAUUCUAUAAAUGCGUGGUGCCUAGAAGCGUGCAUUGCUUCCGUGUGUGAUUACUGACCGAGUGCGUGUUUCAUUUUUUUUUUUUCCUUGAGAUGCUGUUUUCUCGAUAGUUCGCCUGCUCUUAUUGCACAGUUCGGAUUCGUGCUGACAUCCCCUUGCAUGCCAGCAGCAGUACCGCCGGGGGUGCCGGUGCGGCGGCACCGCGGUCACCAGAGGGACGAUAAGGGCAGCUCUAUGGGAAGCGGCUCUCCUGGCUGCGGGAGCGGGACGCUGCGGGAGCGCUGCCCGCCGCGAGCUGCCGCGUCGUGGUUCCUCUCCGCGUGAAUUCCGCUCGGCUGUAGUGCGGAAUGGGGUUUGUGCCGUGCUGCACCUUUUCCCGUGGUUCCUGCGCGGAAGGCGGAGUGCCGGCAUGAAGCCCGGCUCUGAUUGCGUUAAUUGGAGCGUCGUGAGCAUUCCUCUUUCAGGCAAAUAGGGACUGUUUAUUCUUAAGAAAUCCGUGCAGGAUGCUUCUUCUUUACGUCACAGCCAUCUGGAGACCUAUAAAAAGAUUAGACAACAAGCAUGGCAAUCACAUACUGAUCUACAGGCCAUAAGCAGAAGUUCAUUAGGGAGGUGGGAGGAAAAAGUAAACGUUUGGGUUUGGUGUCUCACAAUAUGCAGCUCGUCUACAAAGGCUUUUGGAAUAAGUACGCUUUGUACUGUUAUGUUAUCUGGGAAUAAAAUUGCACAUAGUGUUGAUCUGAUGGUCA